UACAGAGGUCUCAAGCGUUGUUCGGAUUCAUUGGGCGUAAAGGGUGCGCAGGCGGCGUCGCAAGUCAGGCGUGAAAUCCCCGGGCUUAACCUGGGAACUGCACUUGAAACUACGAUGCUGGAGUAUGGCAGAGGGAGGUGGAAUUCCACGUGUAGCGGUGAAAUGCGUAGAGAUGUGGAGGAACACCGAUGGCGAAGGCAGCCUCCUGGGCCAAUACUGACGCUCAUGCACGAAAGCGUGGGGAGCAAACAGG
RNAcentral lists this ribosomal RNA (253 nucleotides) under uncultured bacterium. Its description in RNAcentral is "partial 16S ribosomal RNA". It matches the Rfam family "Bacterial small subunit ribosomal RNA", at positions 524 to 776 of the family's 1533-position model. The record is from RNAcentral.